AUUGAACGCUGGCGGCAUGCCUUACACAUGCAAGUCGAACGGCAGCACGGGAGCAAUCCUGGUGGCGAGUGGCGAACGGGUGAGUAAAGUAUCGGAACGUGCCCAGUCGUGGGGGAUAACGUAGCGAAAGUUACGCUAAUACCGCAUACGAUCUAUGGAUGAAAGCGGGGGAUCGCAAGACCUCGCGCGAUUGGAGCGGCCGAUAGCAGAUGAGGUAGUUGGUGGGGUAAAGGCUCACCAAGCCGACGAUCUGUAGCUGGUCUGAGAGGACGACCAGCCACACUGGGACUGAGACACGGCCCAGACCCCUACGGGAGGCAGCAGUGGGGAAUUUUGGACAAUGGGCGAAAGCCUGAUCCAGCCAUGCCGCGUGCAGGAUGAAGGCCUUCGGGUUGUAAACUGCUUUUGUACGGAACGAAAAGGUUUGGCCUAAUAAGCUGAGCUCAUGACGGUACCGUAAGAAUAAGCACCGGCUAACUACGUGCCAGCAGCCGCAGUAA
RNAcentral lists this ribosomal RNA (500 nucleotides) under uncultured bacterium. Its description in RNAcentral is "partial 16S ribosomal RNA". It matches the Rfam family "Bacterial small subunit ribosomal RNA", at positions 29 to 523 of the family's 1533-position model. The record is from RNAcentral.